GCGUUGUUCGGAUUCAUUGGGCGUAAAGGGUGCGUAGGUGGCGCCGUAAGUCAGGUGUGAAAUUUCGGAGCUUAACUCCGAAACUGCAUUUGAUACUGCGGUGCUUGAGGACUGGAGAGGAGACUGGAAUUCAUGGUGUAGCAGUGAAAUGCGUAGAGAUCAUGAGGAAGACCAGUGGCGAAGGCGGGUCUCUGGACCGGUUCUGACGCUGAGGCGCGAAAGCGUG
This 226-nucleotide ribosomal RNA is filed under the name uncultured bacterium. RNAcentral's name for it is "partial 16S ribosomal RNA". It matches the Rfam family "Bacterial small subunit ribosomal RNA", at positions 538 to 763 of the family's 1533-position model. The record is from RNAcentral.